AGUGAACGCUGGCGGCGUGCCUAAUACAUGCAAGUCGAACGGAGUGGCGCACGGGUGUGUAUUAUAUAGCUAUUCUCCCCCUUGCUGGAGGACUACAGUUAGAAAUGACUGCCAAUACCCCAUAGGAAGGUAUGAGUUUAUAUCGUCUCAGUGAGUCGGUGGGUUAACGGCCUACCGCGGCUAUGACGCGUAACUGGUCUGAGAGGAUGAUCAGUCACAUUGGAACGGAGGCACGGUCCAAACUCCUACGGGAGGCAACAGUAGGGAAUAUUGCGCAAUGGGGGAAACCCUGACGCAGCAACGACGCGUGGAGGAUGACACUUUUCGGAGCGUAAACUCCUUUUGUUAGGGAAGCGGUACUUAACCAGAAAGGGACGGCUAACUACGUGCCAGCAGCCGCGGUAAUUC
Molecule: ribosomal RNA, 408 nt
Filed under: uncultured bacterium
Lineage: Bacteria
Description: partial 16S ribosomal RNA
Rfam family: Bacterial small subunit ribosomal RNA
Source: RNAcentral